GUAGUUGUUGACGAGUUGGUGAACUUGUCUUAGCUUAUAUUUCACGUUAUUCAUGCCUACAUGAGCUGCAUACAACUGCUCUAAUCGCUAGGAUGUGGAUGGACAUUGAUUUCAUUUCCAUUCAGCUGUUGGACUGUACCGGUACUGUAACAUAGUAUGGAUGGUCAAUAUGAAGCAAGCUUCAUUGAAUUCCUCCAAGAGCUCUGUACUCUGUUCUGAUUAUUUUGAAGAUGCUUGCUUUGACUGGACUGGGCAAACGAUUCGUCUUAGACAGGAUGCUGCCCCAACCAUAUUUGAUUUCCCGCCUCGUCUUAAGUAGAAAUGACCCAAACCAAGGAAUUCCUGGAAAGAAUUUCGAUUUUGCAAACAACCUCCUAGAUACUGCAAAGACACCUGUACCAAAGUCUUCAGCACCUUCAUUUCUCGAGGACCACUACUACUCAAUACCAGAAAGUCCAAGAGGAGUAAAGUGGAAGUUAACACCAAUAAUGGACUGUUAUUAAAAACUUGGAGAAGAGGCCGAAGACCACACAGAAGUCCUGUAGUGUAGAUCACAUGUACUUGCUGUUAAGUUUGGACAAACAUAAUUUGCACAACUUUACAACAAAUAAUUUACACUGUGUGCAUUCUGAUUAUUUGAAAUAGUUUAUCACUGGGCAUGUAACAAAAGUGAAUUCAUUAAAUAGGAAUG
Molecule: unclassified non-coding RNA, 691 nt
Filed under: Lytechinus variegatus (green sea urchin)
Lineage: Eukaryota; Metazoa; Echinodermata; Echinoidea; Temnopleuroida; Toxopneustidae
Description: tHAP domain-containing protein 2-like, transcript variant X1
Source: RNAcentral